CGGGGUGUGGCGCAGUUGGCUUAGCGCACUUGCAUGGGGUGCAAGGGGUCGUCCGUUCGAGUCGGAUCACCCCGA
Molecule: transfer RNA, 75 nt
Filed under: Bacteroidales bacterium
Lineage: Bacteria; Pseudomonadati; Bacteroidota; Bacteroidia; Bacteroidales
Also listed under: 1 other name
Description: tRNA-Pro
Source: RNAcentral